GCUAUGGGGACAUGGCGACCCACAGAACCCCCCAUGGGGACACUACGACCCAUAGAACCUCAAAACAUCAUCGCUAUGGGAACACCGCGACCCAUAGAAACCCACACAGCACUGCUAUGGGGACACUGCGACCCACGGAGCCCCACAUGGCACCGCUAUGGGGACAGUGUGACCCAUAAAACCCACAUGGCAACACUAUGGGGACACUGAGACCCAUAGAAACCCACACAGCACUGCUAUGGGGACAGUGUGACCCAUAGAGCCCCAGAACAUCACUGCUAUGGGGACACUGUGACCCACAGAAACCGACACGGCACCGCUAUGGGGACACCGCGACCCAUAGAGCCCCACACAGCAACGCUAUGGGGACACUGUGACCCAUAGAACCCCCCAUGGCAACGCUAUGGGGACACUGAGACCCCCAAUCCAAACCCCGGUUUCCCCAUAUGGGGACACCAGGACCCAGAGCACCCCAAAUCCACACCCAGGUCCCCCCAUCUCAUACACCAGGACACAGAGCACCCCCAAUCCAAGCCCCCAUCCCCCCAUAUGGGGUCACCAGGACCCAGAGCACCCCAAAUCUACACCCAGGUCCCCCCAUAUGGGGCCACCAGGACCCACAGCACCCCCAAUCCAAGCCCUGUCCCCCCAUAUGGGGCCACCAGGACCCAGAGCACCCCGAAUCCACACCCAGGUCCCCCCAUAUGGGCACACCAGGACCCACAGCACCCCCAAUCCACUCCCAGGUGCCCCCAUAUCACACACCAGGACCCACAGCACCCCAAAUCCAUGCCCAGGUCCCCCCAUAUGGGCACACCAGGACCCAGAGCACCCCCAAUCCACGCCCAGGUCCCCCCAUCUCACACACCAGGACCCACAGCACCCCCAAUAUGGGCACACCAGGACCCACAGCACCCCGAAUCCACGCCCAGGUCCCCCCAUCUCAUACAUCAGGACCCAAAACCCCCCCCAAUCCAUGCCCAGGUCCCCCCAUCCCAUAGCCCAGGACCCAGAGCACCCCCAGUCCACGCCCAGGUCCCCCCAUAUGGGGCCACCAGGACCCAGAGCACUCCCAGUCCAUGCCCAGGUCCCCCCAUAUGGGCACACCAGCACCCACAGCACCCCCUGUACGGGCACACCAGGACCCACAGCACCCCCAAUCCACACCCAGGACGCCCCCUCCCCCCCGACCCACAG
RNAcentral lists this long non-coding RNA (1197 nucleotides) under Numida meleagris (helmeted guineafowl). RNAcentral describes it as "lncRNA (ENSNMEG00000004163.1)". The record is from RNAcentral. Lineage: Eukaryota; Metazoa; Chordata; Aves; Galliformes; Numididae.